AGUCGAGCGGCAGCGCGGGGGCAACCCUGGCGGCGAGCGGCGAACGGGUGAGUAAUGCAUCGGAACGUGUCCUCUUGUGGGGGAUGACCAGUCGAAAGACUGGCUAAUACCGCAUGAGAUCGAGAGAUGAAAGCAGGGGACCCGAGGGUAACUGAGGGCCUUGCGCGAGAGGAGCGGCCGAUGCCGGAUUAGCUAGUUGGUGGGGUAAAAGCCUACCAAGGCGACGAUCCGUAGCUGGUCUGAGAGGACGACCAGCCACACUGGGACUGAGACACGGCCCAGACUCCUACGGGAGGCAGCAGUGGGGAAUUUUGGACAAUGGGGGCAACCCUGAUCCAGCCAUGCCGCGUGUGUGAAGAAGGCCUUCGGGUUGUAAAGCACUUUCGGCCGGAACGAAAUCGCGCGGGCUAACACUCCGCGUGGAUGACGGUACCGGAAGAAGAAGCACCGGCUAACUACGUGCCAGCAGCCGCGGUAAUACGUAUGGUGCGAGCGUUAAUCGGAAUUACUGGGCGUAAAGUGUGCGCAGGUGGCCGCGCAAGUCGAGUGUGAAAUCCCCGGGCUUAACUUGGGAAUUGCGCUCGAAACUACGUGGCUAGAGUGUGGCAGAGGGAGGUGGAAUUCCACGUGUAGCGGUGAAAUGCGUAGAGAUGUGGAGGAACACCAAUGGCGAAGGCAGCCUCCUG
This 686-nucleotide ribosomal RNA is filed under the name uncultured beta proteobacterium. RNAcentral's name for it is "bacterial SSU rRNA". It matches the Rfam family "Bacterial small subunit ribosomal RNA", at positions 60 to 731 of the family's 1533-position model. The record is from RNAcentral. Lineage: Bacteria; Pseudomonadati; Pseudomonadota; Betaproteobacteria.